CCUACGGGUGGCAGCAGUGAGGAAUAUUGGUCAAUGGGCGCAAGCCUGAACCAGCCAAGUAGCGUGAAGGAUGACUGCCCUACGGGUUGUAAACUUCUUUUAUAAAGGAAUAAAGUGAGGCCCGUGUGCCUUUUUGUAUGUACUUUAUGAAUAAGGAUCGGCUAACUCCGUGCCAGCAGCCGCGGUAAUACGGAGGAUCCGAGCGUUAUCCGGAUUUAUUGGUUUUAAGGGGAGCUUAGAUGGGUUGUUAAGUCAGUUUGGAAUGUUUGCGGCUCAACCGGAAAAUUGCAAUUGAUACUGGCAGGCUGGAGUACAGAUGAGGUAGGCGGAAUUCGUGGUGUAGCGGUGAAAUGCUUAGAUAUCACGAAGAACUCCGAUUGCGAAGGCAGCUUACUAAACUGCCACUGACAUUGAUGCUCGAAAGUGUGGGUAUCAAACAGGAUUAGAUACCCUAGUAGUC
This 460-nucleotide ribosomal RNA is filed under the name uncultured bacterium. RNAcentral describes it as "partial 16S ribosomal RNA". It matches the Rfam family "Bacterial small subunit ribosomal RNA", at positions 338 to 795 of the family's 1533-position model. The record is from RNAcentral.